Molecule: long non-coding RNA, 961 nt
Filed under: Medicago truncatula (barrel medic)
Lineage: Eukaryota; Viridiplantae; Streptophyta; Magnoliopsida; Fabales; Fabaceae
Description: long non-coding RNA (MTRU_LNC005861)
Source: RNAcentral
AAAAGAAAAGUUAUGCUUAGUACACAAUAUUUUUUGGCAACUCUUUUGUCUUUACUUCAACAAAUAUUCUGGGAAUCAAACAGAUAAAUGCUUAUCCAAUGCAAGAAAUAAUAUAAAGAAAUAAAGGUCCAAGUGGUAGUUGGUAUUUAUACUAAAAAAGUAGUUCAAGCAUGGUUAAUUUUCCUUGCUUAGUGAAAUACGUGGUAGGGUAAAUAUUAGAACAUAUAUGGCCAUUUUUCUCCGCUCAUUUACUCUCAUUGGUUUCAAGUCACAUCCAAGAAAAAGUAUAUGGCUAAAAUAGUGUCAUACUCAUAUAUAGUAGUUGUUUUUCUAUCCUUGUCCUUUUCGUUAAUCAACUAUCUUCCACACCAAUUUAAUUUUUGAUGCAUUAAUUCUUGAAACCACUAAAAGAAAACAAUGAUAGUUAUCUUCUCAAAAAUCAUGUAACACAUCUUUACUCCCACAAAAAUGGAUAAUUUCUAUACACAACCAGCAACUAUAGUACUAGCUAUACUUUUAGUGCUUCUAUACAACAUAUGGAGGGUAAAAAAACCUAGUAACAAAUUCAAGGGUAUGAAACCACCAGAACCAUCAUAUGCCUUACCUUUAAUAGGUCACCUCCAUCUACUAGGAAACCAAAUCCCUCUUGCAAGAAUCUUUGCUUCAUUUUCAGACAAAUAUGGUCCUAUCUUCCAAAUCCAUUUUGGAGCAUACCCUGCACUUAUUAUUUCCAACAAAGAAGCAAUCAAAGAAUGUUUCACUACAAAUGACAAAAUCUUAGCCUCAAGACCAAAGUCAAGUCAUGGAAUUCACCUAGGUUAUAACUAUGCUGGCUUUGGUUUUGCACCUUAUGGCCCAUAUUGGACCAAGCUAAGAAAAUUAACCAUGCUUGAACUACUUUCGUCUCGUCGCCUUGAAUCGUUGAGACAUGUUUAUGAAUCGGAGAUCGAUACUUUGAUAA